GCUAGGCACAGUGGCUCAUGCCUGUAAUCCGAGAACCUUAGGAGGCUGAGGCAGGAGGAUCAAGAGUUCAAACCCAGGCUCAGCAACUUAGUGAGGCCCUAGGCAACACAUUGAGACCCUGUCUCUA
This 127-nucleotide small RNA is filed under the name Marmota monax (woodchuck). The record is from RNAcentral. Lineage: Eukaryota; Metazoa; Chordata; Mammalia; Rodentia; Sciuridae.